UGUCCCGUGGCUAGGUAAUAUGUUUAUUCAAGACUGUCUUCUUUGAAGUAGAUCCUCUUUGAAACGAAUGCCUGGCAAUCAAAGCUUAAAGCGUGGAAGGGAGGACAGAAGACGGAAAUUAAUGUGAGAGACAUCAAUUGGUUGCCUCUCGCUGAAUUUCUGACCAGGGCCCCGGAUUGAGUCUGCAACCCAGGUAUAAACUCAGGUGGACUGGGCCAAGAAAUCAAAUGGAAUGUGAGAGGCUCCUCUGCACCGAGAGUUGCCCUAUCCUAGGCUGCAGUGUGGAAAAUGUCUCACAUAGAAGAAUCGGAAUGGCUUCCAGAAAACUCAACCCAAACAGGAUGAAAAAUGAAAUGUACACAAUGAUUACAGCUCUGCUAAAAUAUAUCGGUCAAUGGACCCACACUGGAAAUGAAUAAGCAAAAAUGACAAAUUGUGUGAUAUGGUGGUAAUACUGGGGAUGAGUUUUCUUUUGUCCUCUAUUUUCUAAGCUUUCCGUGAUGUCAUUAUCCAGGGUGGGGCAAAAGCAGGUUUACAGUUGUGAGUAUG
Myotis brandtii (Brandt's bat) is the source of this 549-nucleotide long non-coding RNA. RefSeq lists it as uncharacterized. The record is from RefSeq and is a predicted model, not a curated record. NCBI's taxonomy places the organism in Eukaryota, Metazoa, Chordata, Mammalia, Chiroptera, Vespertilionidae. The transcript has 3 exons.